UCUAAAUUUUUUCCAAAACUUGCGCAGUUUGGUUCGGAAAACGCAGUGGCGUUCGCGUUUGUUUUGGAAUUCUAAUUAAAUCGCGUUAAUUUUCGGGUUAAUUAUUCAAAUUAUUCGAAUUUUCGAUAAAUCGAUCGCGUGUGAUGACUUUCGGUACUUUGUUUUCGUAUAAUUCGCGAGAUAUUCGUUGUAGGAUUCGUGAAAUAGAACAGUGAAGUGAACUUGUGUAACAUGGCGGAGCAGCUUAGAUCAUGAUUGUUUACAUAGAAGUAUUGGAAUUGGAUUCGAUUUCGACGUUGGAUAAUUCUGCAAUUCGCAUUUAGUUCACACUGAAUUGAGUGAGCCUGUUGUAUCAGAAUUGAAUACUUUGAUGAUAUCAGUCGAAUUGAGGGGUUCGUGAUUUGGAUAGAAGCUGAAUUGUGCAAGGUGGACGUUGACUUUUCGUUCAGAAGAAAUCGUGAAGUAGCAGGCUGUUCCGAUAUUGAUUUUUCACGAACUUGAUUUUUCUGAUGUUUGCAAAAUUUUGUUGGCAAACGAUUUUCCAAAGAAUUGACUGCAUGAUUUUGUUGCGCUGCGCUGUGGGGAUUUCCUAACGUCGAUAUCGUCGGUGUACGUUUGAGAUGGUUUAUUUUCUAUUCUCAGUAUUCAAGGUUAAUCCGUGGAGAAGUUUUUGAUCGUGGGUUUUUAUUGGAAGAUUUGGAUUGUUUGUCGAGAAGCUGUUUUCUGUAAAAGG
Long non-coding RNA from Planococcus citri (citrus mealybug), 733 nucleotides. RefSeq lists it as uncharacterized. The transcript has 6 exons. Lineage: Eukaryota; Metazoa; Arthropoda; Insecta; Hemiptera; Pseudococcidae. The record is from RefSeq and is a predicted model, not a curated record.